GAUGAACGCUGGCGGCGUGCCUAAUACAUGCAAGUCGAGCGAACAGACGAGGAGCUUGCUCCUCUGACGUUAGCGGCGGACGGGUGAGUAACACGUGGAUAACCUACCUAUAAGACUGGGAUAACUUCGAGAAACCGGAGCUAAUACCGGAUAAUAUAUUGAACCGCAUGGUUCAAUAGUGAAAGACGGUUUUGCUGUCACUUAUAGAUGGAUCCGCGCCGCAUUAGCUAGUUGGUAAGGUAACGGCUUACCAAGGCGACGAUGCGUAGCCGACCUGAGAGGGUGAUCGGCCACACUGGAACUGAGACACGGUCCAGACUCCUACGGGAGGCAGCAGUAGGGAAUCUUCCGCAAUGGGCGAAAGCCUGACGGAGCAACGCCGCGUGAGUGAUGAAGGUCUUCGGAUCGUAAAACUCUGCUAUUAGGGAAGAACAAAUGUGUAAGUAACUAUGCACGUCUUGACGGUACCUAAUCAGAAAGCCACGGCUAACUACGUG
Molecule: ribosomal RNA, 497 nt
Filed under: uncultured bacterium
Lineage: Bacteria
Description: partial 16S ribosomal RNA
Rfam family: Bacterial small subunit ribosomal RNA
Source: RNAcentral